RNAcentral lists this unclassified non-coding RNA (239 nucleotides) under Hevea brasiliensis (rubber tree). Lineage: Eukaryota; Viridiplantae; Streptophyta; Magnoliopsida; Malpighiales; Euphorbiaceae. The record is from RNAcentral.
CUCUCUUCACAGUUCAAAACCCUAGCCUCCUGUCGAUCUGCUUCCGUCGCCACCUCUCGAUUCGCUUCCCCUAAUCAAUCAUUCAUUUCUCCAUCGCCUUCCGCUUCUCUCUUCCGUCGCUACUUCACUGUCGAGUCAGAUGGUGCUGUGAAAAAGAAGAUUGAAGAUAUAAUGCCUAUUGCUACUGGACAUGAGCUGGAGGAGCUUACGGCUGAGCUUCAGGGGAAGGAUGUUCUUGA